Molecule: ribosomal RNA, 548 nt
Filed under: uncultured bacterium
Lineage: Bacteria
Description: partial 16S ribosomal RNA
Rfam family: Bacterial small subunit ribosomal RNA
Source: RNAcentral
UGGGGAAUUUUGGACAAUGGGCGAAAGCCUGAUCCAGCAAUGCCGCGUGUGUGAAGAAGGCCUUCGGGUUGUAAGGCACUUUUGUCCGGAAAGAAAUCCUUGGCUCUAAUACAGUCGGGGGAUGACGGUACCGGAAGAAUAAGCACCGGCUAACUACGUGCCGGCAGCCGCGGUAAUACGUAGGGUGCAAGCGUUAAUCGGAAUUACUGGGCGUAAAGCGUGCGCAGGCGGUUUGCUAAGACCGAUGUGAAAUCCCCGGGCUCAACCUGGGAACUGCAUUGGUGACUGGCAGGCUAGAGUAUGGCAGAGGGGGGUAGAAUUCCACGUGUAGCAGUGAAAUGCGUAGAGAUGUGGAGGAAUACCGAUGGCGAAGGCAGCCCCCUGGGCCAAAUACUGACGCUCAUGCACGGAAGCGUGGGGAGCAAACAGGAUUAGAUACCCUGGUAGUCCACGCCCUAAACGAUGUCAACUAGUUGUUGGGGAUUCAUUUCCUUAGUAACGUAGCUAACGCGUGAAGUUGACCGCCUGGGGAGUACGGUCGCAAGAUU